UGGAAAAGAACACUAAGUCGUUGGCCGGCGCCGGCAUGUUAUUCGUUUUCUUGGAGCUGAACUUCGGAACUUUUGUAUACAUGGAAGUGGAUAUAUUCUAAGACGAAAAAUAUACGGAGCAGAUCCCCCCAACCCGUACUCCGAGAUGACAUUAGGAGAAAAAAAAGAGAAAAGGCAAAGAAUUAUUGCACCUCCAUGUGUCAAGGGGAUAGCGCGGUUGUUGGAAGCCUUUGAAUAUAAUUUUAUUGUACAUACAUGCAGUUUUCAAAUAAAGAAAUACACCAAAAACGAAAUUUACUAUGAUUACAAAUUGCAGUUAUUACAGCCUUUCCGUUAGCAGAAAAAGUGUUUCGUAGGCUGUCAUGGUCAAAUAUAACCAUGGCCUCAGUCAGUUCACGAUUCGUGCAGGAUGCCGGCUUGAUGAGUCAGUCCUUGGCGAACUGUACUUGAUACAGCGAUUAUCGACUACAAUUCAGUCUGCUGUCACUGCAUAACACAAUUGGCAUCAUAAUUCCUAUUAUAGUCGGCGGAUUAACGACGGCGAGAAGAAAAGCAAAUGACGAUGACAGGGGCCAAGUGAAUGUUUAUCGGCAUAUCGAAACCCACAUGUCUGUACAGUAGUGGUAUAAUACAUUACCGCCACUUACCAUGUCGUCCUCAGCGCUAAGAAAAAUUAUAAAAGCACGUUUCUUGUUAAGUACAGAAAAGAACUUAGUUAGAGGCGUGGUUUGUCAGUACAGUCAGGAGGCUCCUGUGGAAACUGUACAAGAUGUGAAAAAUCGUCUUAUAGAAGUCAUGGGGAUUCAGCGCAGCUACAAGCCAUUACCGCUGAGUCGGAGUCAUUUGCUGGAGUACCUACCAAAGAGCCAGGAUGAACUUCCUGUUAGGAAGAUGAAGGAUAGCUUUUCCAGUGUAGUAAUUCCACUGAGCACAGAUAUAACACUGCAAGAAAAGUAUGUGACAUUUCUUGGGCAUGUACGGCUGGGGAGACUUAUGGAGGACAUGGAUAUAUUUGCAGCUUGGGUGGCUCACAAGCACAUCUUGAACCCAAGAAAGCCAGCUGGACAACCAACACCAUAUGUAAUUGUCACUGUACUUGUUGAUCAAAUUGAUUUCACUGACAUAACUCCUAAGCACGAUGGUGAUAUCAGAUUGUCGGGGCAUGUAUCAUGGGUUGGGAAGUCCUCAAUUGAGGUGACUGUGUGGCUGGAACAGUUAUUGCAUGGUUCUUGGCAGAAACUGACUAGAGCAGUUUUCCUCAUGGCAGCUCGAAAUUCUAUUUUAUCCGGGCCAGCAAUAGUGAACCUUCUUGAGCCCGAAACUGAAGAAGAAAAGGAAAUAUUUAGAGGUGGUGAAUUAAGGAAGAAACGACGUGUAAAAGUACAGCAGGAAUCACUUUUCAAAAUGACACCAGAUGUUAAUGAGCAGAGAUUAAUCCAUGACCUUUUCCUGAAAACAAUUGAUCUACAUAGAAUGUCGUUCCACAAAAGAAUUCUGCCUCCCAGGAGCUUAUGGAUGGAAGAUGCACAACUCAGCAAUAUUGUUUUUAGUCACCCCGAAGACCGUAACCUGCACAACAAGGUUUUUGGGGGCUUUCUUAUGCGACAGGCUUUAGAACUCUCUUGGACUGCUGGUUAUUUGCACAGCAAAUUUCGCCCCAGAUUGUGUCACAUAAGUGACAUCAGUUUCCACAAGCCAGUUGAUGUUGGAUCACUUCUUCGAAUGAACUCCUUGGUUACAUAUACAGAAUGCAAUUAUGUGCAGAUAACAGUUUAUGCAGAAGUGUUUGACCCUCGUGGAGGGCAGCAAAAUACAACUAAUGUGUUUCAUUACACGUAUGAAAUGCCUGAAGAAGUGCCACAGAUAAUUCCAAAAUCCUAUCAGGAGGCAAUGAUGUACCUGGAUGGCAGACGACAUUUUCAGCAUGUGAUGGGUCUUUCUGACAAUACACAUAGUUCAACAGCCACAUAAACUUGCUUUGGUCAUCUUAUUUGCUAAAUUAUUCAUUCAUUAAAGCGCUCUCUCUCUCUCUCUCUCUCUCUCUCUCUCUCUCUCUCUCUCUCUCUCCACACACAAAAUGUACUUAAUGCCAAUGUGGACUAUGUGUCAGCUUAACCUCCCUAAUAGUUUUUGUGCUGUAACAUCAUGUUGGCAUCUCUGUCAGUAUUACUUAAUGAAGGUAACAUAAAAUUUUGAAAAUUUUGUUAAGUGUCUGAGAAUAUUGAUGUAAAUACAUGUUCCAGCAAGAAUGAGAAAACGAUAUCACUAGUCAUUGAAAGCAUUUGUUUGGAACAUACCUUAUCAGAAAAAGUGCACAAAGUAUAGAGUGUAGUGGUAUGGUGAUCCAAAAAAUAACUAAGUUUCAGACUUGUACUAAUGUUGAUAUAUAUAAUGAGCUGUCCAUAUAAUGGCUAUUGUUACUAAAAUAAAGAGCAGCUUACAUGUGAA
Molecule: unclassified non-coding RNA, 2448 nt
Filed under: Schistocerca americana (American grasshopper)
Lineage: Eukaryota; Metazoa; Arthropoda; Insecta; Orthoptera; Acrididae
Description: acyl-coenzyme A thioesterase 9, mitochondrial-like, transcript variant X1
Source: RNAcentral